AAUAAAAGAAAAGAAGACGAUUCCCUUACCUAUAAAAGUCAAGGGGAUGCAAGCCAGAGGGGGAUCUUUUUCAAAAAGCCGAGAGAGCAAAUUUUGGAAAGCGGAAGCCGAGACUGAAGAUUUUCUUUCUUUCCUUGUUUCCGUUUGUAUCAAUUUUUUUUGUAAUAUAUUUCAAAAAGUUUAUCAAAUAAAAAGAGUGUUGUGCUUUCUUUCAAUAUGAGUAGCUAAUUUUAUUAAGCUGAGGUGAAGGGUGAAGCUCAAUGUUUCAAACUAUUAAUUAUUAUUAUUUUCUCAAAGGAGUUUUUUAAAUUCUUUUCGAAUUAUUUUAUAUCAUGUUAAUUUAUAAAUCUCACUGGAUUUUAUAGUAUUUUGACAUAAUGUCGACACAUUAAUAUAGUGUGACACAUUACGUACUUUAUUCUAUAUUUAUCCACAUACAUAAAAUUAAAUGAUAUAAUAAUUAAUUGGUAAAAGUGAGGCAAAAUAUAAAUGACAGAGUAUUAAAAUUACAGUUUGAAUACAGAGAGUGGAUCCUAAACCUUAGCUUGAUUUCAAAUAAUUUCUUUUCCCCACAAUUAAUUUUCUUAGUUUUACUAGAUUUAAAACUCCAUGUGGUUCGACCCCGGUCUCACCGGAUUAUAUUAUAACUAGACACUCUUAUACUUGAGAAUAAUACACUUUUGAGUCGUGUCAAAUUUUUAGCGCCGUUGCCAAGGAGUUUUCUAAAUUUGGUAUUAGUUUGUCUUUACUUUAUUUUUAUUUUUUUAAUAUAUUUUUUUUGUUUUGUCAUUACCUUCUUUCCGUAAUUCUAUUUUAUUCUCUUUUUGUAAAACUUCAGUUAGCACCCCUCUUCUUUUCAAACCUUAACAUUAUCCAUAAAAUUUGUGAGAAACUUCAUCUUAGCCCAAAAACCCUUGCAAAUCAGUCCCCAAAUCAAAUUUAUUUCUUUAAAUUUUUGCAAUUUACUUUCCGCAUUUAUUUUAAAUGGUCGGUUCUAUCGCCUAACUGUUAUUUAAAUUUUGUUAAUUUAUGUAUUUUUAUUUAUAUGGUCGGUUCUACCGCCUAGCAUUUUAAUUUCAGUUUAUUUAUUUUUGUGCAUUAAUUAAUUUAAUUUUAUGUUUUAUUAUAUGGCUGGUUUUAAANNNNNNNNNNNNNNNNNNNNNNNNNNNNNNNNNNNNNNNNNNNNNNNNNNNNNNNNNNNNNNNNNNNNNNNNNNNNNNNNNNNNNNNNNNNNNNNNNNNNAGAGUUUCAAUUUUUUUAGUGCAGAGAGGGCUCCCAAUGAAAAUUUUUCGGAGCACGCCAUUGAGGAGGCCCUGCAAGCACAAUUUUUAAAAAAAAUUCUUCCCACCCCACAGAACAAAUUCUUUCAAAAGAAAAAUCAUCACUUUCACUCAAAAACUAGGAGAAACUCUCUACCAAUGUUGGGAUAGGUUUAAAGAACUACUUAACAUUUGCCCACAUCACAGUUUUGAAACAUGGAUAUUAGUGUCUUAUUUCUACGAGGGAUUAACAUCCCAAGGUAGACAAGUAAUUGAAAUGAUGUGUAAUGGUGAGUUUAGGGAUAAAAGUCCUGAAGAUGCAUUAGACUAUCUUGACUAUAUAGUAGAAAAUGCACAACACUGGGAUACAGUUGGUUCUUAUGAGUCGUCAAGUAAACCCAAGUCAUCUCUAUCUGGUGGAGGCAUGCAUAACCUUAGGGAAGACCAUGAUUUUCAAGCCAAAUUUGCAUCAUUAGCUAGAAAAGUUGAAGCAUUGGAGUCGAAAAAAAAAUGAUCAUGUAAAGUCUGUUCAAAAUAUUUCAUGUUAUGUUUGCGAUUCUACUGACCAUUCUACGCAGGACUGUCCAACUUUACCAGCUCUGAGAUAAAGUCUGCAUGAACAAGUAAAUGUCAUUGACAAUUUCAAAAGGCCAAAUCCAAAUCCAUACUCCCAAACUUACAACUUUGGUUGGAGAAACCGCCCAAAUUUCGGUUGGACAAAUGACAAUCAUGCACAACCUUCACAAUCAGUUCCUCCACGUCAAAAUUUUCAAAACUCCCAGAGUUACCCACCAUAGGUCCCACCACCAAGAAAAACUCUAGAAGACACAUUGCAUUCGUUUAUUGAAAAACAAGAGUCGAUCAAUAACCAAACGAUGCAAACCUUAACCAAUUUGACAGAAACUAUCUCCAAACUUACAUCUGUUCUGACCAUACAUGAAAAAGAAAAGUUUCAUGCUCAACCUUAACCAAACCCCAAGAGUCAACAACAUCCUCAAAUGGGAAAUUCAGGAAACCAAAAUAUGAGUUAAGUCAAAUCGGUUAUAACCCUUCGUGGUGGUAAAGUAGUCGAAAAACACAUUGUGGACCCUCGUGAAACUAGUAAAGAUUCAAUUUCAGAAAAUAGGGAAGAGUCUGUCGAACCUUUAAACUAUGAAGAAAUAACCAACUCUCCUCUUGUACCCCCAUUUCCUCAAGCACUGAUCAAGCCAAAGAAAUCAAACCACAGUCCAGAAAUUUAUGAAGUUUUUAAACAAGUUAAGGUCAACAUUCCUCUACUGGAUGUCAUUAACAGGUGCCUUCUUAUGCUAAAUUUCUGAAAGAUCUGUGCACAGUGAAAAGGAAACAUAAGGUGCAAAAGAGAGCUUUUCUAGCAGAACAGGUAAGUUAUAUUCUCUCAACCAAUAGUGCUUUGAAAUACAAGGAUCCUGGUUGUCCAACUAUUUCUUGCACUAUUGAGGAUCAUAAAAUUGGACAUGCUUUACUUGAUCUUGGUGCUAGUGUUAAUUUGCUUCCUCACUCAGUGUACCAACAACUCAAUCUCGGUGAGUUUAAACCAACUUCUACCACUCUUUUACUUGCUGAUAGAUCGAUUAAGGUUCCAAAAGGAAUAAUUGAAGAUGUAUUAGUCCAGGUCGAUAAAUUCAUAUAUCCUAUGGAUUUAAUUGUUCUGGAAACGGAACCAAUUGCUAAUGACUGCAAACAAAUUCAUGUUAUUUUGGGUCGACCAUUUUUAGCUUCUGCUAAUGCUUUGAUAACUCGCAUGAAUGGAUUAAUGAACUUAUCUUUCGGCAACAUGACACUGGAACUCAAUGUGUUCAACAUGUGUAAACAACCUCACCACCAAGAAGAUGAUGAUCAUGAGAAUGAGGAAAUUGAUCUCAUCAAGCCAAUCAUUGAGGAACACAUUCAGGAUGAGAAUUUUACAAACUCUGUUGAAAUUUGUUUUGCUGGUUCUUUUGAAUCAAGUAAAGAAUUAGAUUAUGAUACUACUAACACAUGUCCUACACUUGAUUAUAUGCAGGUACCUAUAGGUGACGAUUACCAAUCGAACUUUGAAGAUACGGUGCAACCUGAAGAACCAAACGAAGAGGAAGCACCAGAGCUCGAAUUAAAGCCCUUACCAGAAGAAUUGAAGUAUGCUUAUCUUGGAGAGCAGCAGAUAUAUCCGGUGGUAAUUUCUUCUCAGCUCACGCAUGAUCAAGAAGGUAAGUUGUUAUCUGUACUAAAAAGGCAUAAAACUACAUUUGGUUGGACCUUAAAAGACAUAAAAGGCAUUAAUUCUUUAAUUUGCACACACCGAAUACACUUAGAGGAAAAUGCCAAAACAACUCGUCAACCACAAAGAAGACUAAACCCUCAUAAGAAAGAAGUGGUAAAGAAUGAGGUCCUUAAACUACUAGAUGUAAGAAGUAUCUACCUUAUCUCUGAUAGUAAAUAGGUAAGUCCAAUUCAAGUAGUACCAAAGAAAUCUGGAAUAACUGUUGUAAAAAAUGAAAAAGGUGAACCAAUCCCAACACGAAUUCCAUCUAGUUGGCGCAUGUGCAUUGAUUACAGAAAAUUAAAUUAUGCCACUAGAAAAGAUAAUUUUCCCCUUCCAUUUCUAGACCAAAUUCUCGAAAGAGUAGUUGGACAUCCCUACUACUGCUUUCUUGAUAGCUACUCUGUCUAUUAUCAAAUCCCUAUAGCCUUAGAAGACUAGGAAAAUACCACAUUCACAUGCUCAUUUGGAACAUUUGCAUUUAGGAGAAUGCCCUUUGGACUUUGUAAUGCUCCUGCAACAUUUCAAAGGUGCAUGCUAAGCAUUUUUAGUGACAUGGUUGAAAAUUGUCUAGAGGUUUUUAUGGAUGAUUUAACUGUAUUUGGUAAUUCUUUUGAUACAUGUCUUGAUAAUCUAGAAAAAGUUUUGGAAAGGUGCAAAGAAAAAGGACUAGUUUUAAAUUGGGAAAAUUGUCAUUUCAUGACCACUUCUGGAAUUGUCUUAGGCCAUAUUGUGUCUUCAAAAGGAAUCGAAGCUAAUAAAGCCAAAGUUGAAGUCAUUUCGAAAUUUCCCUCACCAAAGACAAUUAGAGAAGUCUGUUCUUUUUUAGGACAUGCAGGGUUUUAUAGGAGGUUUAUAAAAGAUUUUAGUGCCUUAUCUAGACCAAUUUGUAACCUCCUAAUAAAAUAUACACAAUUUGAAUGGACUAAAUAUUAUCAACAAGCUUUUGAAAAGAUAAUUAGUCUUUUGACAUCAGCCCCAAUAAUACAACCCCUUGAUUGGUCUUUACCUUUUGAGCUAAUGUGUGAUGCUAGUGAUUAUGUCGUUGGCGUUGUUUUGGGUCAAAGAAAGGAAAGUAAGCCCUUUGUCAUCUAUUAUGCAAGUAGAACUUUGAAUAGUGUUCAAAUGAAUUACACUACAACUGAGAAAGAACUACUUACUGUAAUAUUUGCAUUGGAUAAAUUUCGUUCGUAUUUAAUUGGUUCAUCUACUGUUGUUUAUUCUGAUCAUGCUGCUGUGAAAUAUUUAAUGUCAAAACAGGAUGCCAAACCAAGGUUGAUACGAUGGAUUUUGCUACUUCAAGAAUUUAAUUUGAUAAUUGAGGACAAAAAGGGCGCUGAAAAUGUUGUUGCAGAUCAUCUUUCAAGACUUACAAAUGAGUCUUCAAUUGAAACAACACCCAUCAAUGAUUCUUUCCCUGAUGAAUUUUUGUUUUCUAUAAACAAAAUGCCUUGGUAUGCUAAUAUUGUUAAUUAUCUUGCAACAGGUGAAAUGCCAUGUGACUGGAGUUCCCAAGACAAGAAGAGAUUCUUAAUAGAAGUAAAAAACUUUUACUGGGAUAAACCAUACAUGUUCAAGUACUGCUCUGAUCAAAUUUUUCGAAGAUGCAUACCAGACGACGAGGUAAGUAGGGUCAUUAAAUUUUGUCAUUCUGAAACAUGCGGUGGCCAUUUUUCUUCAAAAAAGGCAAUUGCAAAAAUAUUGCAGUGUGGAUUUUAUUGGCCUACAUUAUUUAAAGAUUCACAUGCAUUCUGUAAAAUGUGUAAGAAUUGUCAAAUGGUAUGAUCUAUUUCAAAGCGAAACAUGAUGCCUUUAAACCCCAUCCUUGUCAUUGAAAUAUUUGAUUGUUGGGGAAUUGAUUUUAUGGGCCCUUUUCCAUCAUCAUUUGGAUUUAUAUACAUUUUGGUUGCUGUUGAUUAUGUUUGAAAAUGGAUCGAGGCGAUUCCUUGUCGACACAAUGAUCACAAGAUUGUGAUCCGCUUUUUAAAAGAAAAUAUUUUGAGCAGAUUUGGAAUACCUCAAGCCAUUAUCAGUGAUGGAGGUAAGCAUUUUUGUAAUAAGCCAUUUGAGUCCUUAAUGAAGAAAUAUGGAAUUACACAUAAGGUUGCUACCCCUUAUCACCCUCAAACAAGUGGUCAAGUUGAAUUAGGAAAUAGGGAGAUAAAACAAAUUUUAGAAAAGACAGUUAAUCCAAACCGUAAAGAUUGGUCUCUUUGACUAAUUGAUGCACUUUGGGCAUAUCGUACUGCUUUUACAACAUCUUUAGGAAUGUCACCCUAUCGGCUUGUUUAUGGAAAAUCUUGCCACUUACUAGUAGAACUUGAACAUAAAUCAUUUUGGGCCAUUAAAGCUUUUAAUUCAAAUCUUGAUAAUGCUAGCAAUGUGCGUAAAUUGCAAAUAAAUGAACUUGAGGAAUUAAGGAAUGAUGCAUAUGAGAAUUCCAGAAUUAUUAAGGCAAGAACUAAAUUUUUUCAUGACAAAAGAAUUUUUCAGAAAACAUUUGAAAUUGGUCAAAAAGUGUUGCUUUAUAAUUCUUGUCUUCAUUUAUUUCCAGGGAAGUUAAAGUCAAAGUGGAAUGGUCCAUUUGUUGUAAAAAAUGUGUAUCCAUAUGGAGCCGUAGAAAUUGAGAAUCCAAAUGAUGGUGUCACAUUUAAAGUUAAUGGCCAAAGAUUGAAACCAUAUCUGGAAUACCAACUACAUGAAGCAGAUACCGAAAUCCAGUUGAGUGACCCACCAAAAUUUUGAUUAAGCCUUUUCAUUUUAACAUUUUGUGAAUUUGAUUUACCGUCACUUUAUCGUUUGAAUUAUUUAAUUUUUUUUCCUUUUCCCUAUGUCUUGAAUGGAGUGCAUUGCAUUGUUUUAAUUAUGUAUUGUUUUUAUACUUGUCAUGAGUACCUCCAUGAGAAAUUUCCUUCUCGAUCAUCUUAAAAUGCUUUUUCAUGUAAAAUUUCACCUGAGGAAAUUGCUCCGAUUUUAUAAAUUACAUCCCAUUUGGGAUCUGCAACCACCAGAGUUAGUAUCUCACGUGAAAGAUCAUGAAAGACAACUCAAGAAAAUAGAGGAUGGUAUUUAUAAUCUGCAAUUGGAACUGGAUUCAAUAAAAGGACGAAGGUGAGUUAUAUUCCUUGUGUGUUUUUGUUUUAUUGUUCUUUUUCACUUUUGAUUUGAUUUGAUUUUGCAGAUUUGAUUCGUUUUGUUUUGAUAUUACUCUUCCGUGUAAAUGGCGGAUAACGGUACUCCGUGACUUUUUAAGUCGGUAUUCUCAGUUUCCCACAAUAACUGAAACCUCAAUGUCAAGCAUGGAAGCAAUACAACAAAAUUUGCAUCAAUAUUUUCCUUCUCUCCCUCAAAAUGCUCUUAAGAAGAUUUACAAAGCUCGUUGUGAAUGACUGCGUUUGUUAAUGAUCAAUGGGAUUCCUGCUGACAUUCGCUGGUUAAUUGAAGCAAAGGUCUGAUUGGCAGGUGAGUUUUCUGAUCCAUUCAUUUCCUACAUGCCUGGUUUUGGUAAAAGUACAUUUGCUAAGAAAAGAAGAGGUAAGUGACUUGGCUCUUAAUGUUCUCACUGUGUAAGACUUGCUUGCAAAAAUCCACUUUGUAAAGCUUUAGGAAUGAUUUCUGUAAAUCGUGAAGAUAAAAUCAAAUUCGUUAAGGAUGGCAUGAGUAAAGAAUCGUUGGAUGAUAUCUUACGAUCUCUUGAGAAGCAUCCGAGCAGAUAUGUUCAACGUGAAAUUCAAAAUUUGUGGAAGUUGUUCCAAAAGGAAAGUGCACAAUUUAGUUUUGGGAAUCUGACUCUAAAAGACCUUGUUUGCCAGUUUAUAAGAAAACUGGAUGGGAAGCCUAUCCUCGACCCAUAGAGGGCGUUCAAGUCGUUACUGGACGUAAAAUCAGAGGAAGAUGUGAGCCACAAUCACAACUACCAGUAAAUAUCCUUUUAUUUUACUAUUCUUUUAUCUUUUGUAUUAUUAUUAUUAUUAUUGUGUUUUUUUCUUUCUUUUGUCUAAUCACUGUUUUCUUUUUCUUUUCAUUGUUUGCCUUUGAAUUAUUAAGCUAAAAGCUUCACGCGUCAUUUGACAAACACACCACCCCAUUUAUAGAUGUAUAUCAUUAUGUCCGUCACCAAGAUCCUUAAAUAGGAGCUUCUUUUUAAGCACUCACAAAUUGGUUCUUUUUAGAAUUGUUAUAAUGGCAGCAACUUCAAGCAGUCAACUUUAAAACAUUUGUAUGCUUUCUGGAUUUCGUUAUGGAAAGUAUAAGGAGUUCGUUCAGGCAGCCAUAGAUCUUGGUCGUGCUAUAGCAGAGAGGAAACUACAUCUUGUAUAUGGAGGAGGUGACCAAGGGUUAUCAAAACUUGUCUCUGAAACUACUUUCGUUCGAGGAAGCCAAGUGCUAGGCAUCAUUCCAAAAGCCUUAAAACUUUUUAGAUGUCUACUAGACUCACCAACUGGAGAAGAGUUAGUUGUCUCAGGUAUGCAAGAAAAAAUAUCUGAAAUGUUAAAUCAUGCUGACGCUUUCAUUUUCUUGCCAGGAGACCUUGCAACUUUGGAGGCGCUAAUUACAUUUGCUUCUUGGGCCCAUUUGAAUAUCCAUAAAAAACCCAUCGAUUUGUUAAAUGUUAAUAACUUUUAUGAUGUCUUAAUAACAUUUCUUAAUCAUGCAAUAAAAAAAUAUUUCAUUCUAUCCUCAGCGAAAAAACUCUUCAUUUGUGCUCCUAUUGCUAAAGAGUUACUUGAUCUUUUGCAAGCUUACAAACCAGAGCCAGAUCCCAUGACUUUGGCGUUGGAUUGGGCAACUGAUGACGAUGGCAGUAACUCUCGUAAAAAGUGUAAAUUAAAUUUAACUCUCCGUCUGUAAAUAUUUCCAACAGUGGCCAAGUGAUAUCUUCUAAACUCUACUCCUUUCUUUAGACAUUGAGGACAAUGUCUCUUUCAGGUUGGGGGGAGGGACUUGUUGAUAAUUGUAGAAUGUCUCAGUCCUAGUGAUGUUUUUACUAAUUUUUGUUGUAAAGACUAACUUUGGAUAAAAUUUUAAGUCAAAGAUGGCAGAAUAUAGAAUGUAGUGUCUCUAGAAACGCAUCUUCUUAACUUUUGUGUUUUCUUUCAAAAAAAAAAUGUUUCUAACUUUUUGUUUUCGGUCUUUUUCUCUUAAUCAUCUACUUAAGUUUCUGCAAUUAGUUCCAAUUUUUUAGUGUUUUCUUAAAAAAAAUUAUUUUCUUUUUCAGUGUGAUCUUUUAACAUUGGAUAACAUGAUGAUUUUCAAAUUUUGGUAUUUGUAUUAUCUUUGGCCUUGAGUUAUGUUACACUAUGUUUUUCCCUUUGCAUGUUGAAACGUAAAUUGAGAAAUUGAAUGAGUGAAAUUGAUUAAGCUAUUUUGAGGAAUGUACAUGUUAUGAAAAGACCAAGCGAGUUUUUGAGCCUAUUAUCCUUGGAGAGUAACCUUGUUUGCCUAUACAGCUUCACAAUUUAUUGUACAAGAUCUCAAUAUUUGCUUUAAAAAAGAAAGUUUGUGCAGCCGCAUCUAAAAGUCCAUUGAACUAGUGGAUAUGAAAGAUUAUAUAGAACCCUAAAAGAUGACAGAAGGUCAUCUUUGAUCCGUUUGAGCCUUUCUAGCCAACCCUAUUAUAAAGAAUACAUAGUUAACCCCUUUAAGCCUUUGAAAAAAAAAAUUCUUUGGUAACCUAUCAUAUUUUCCUACUCCAAUGAGGAGUAUCACCUUAUGUUUUAUGUUUUCUAUCACCCAAUUAUGUUUAAAAAUAAGGAUGAUUAUGUAUUCCUAAUAAUGGUGCUAUAUAUAUAUAUAUAUAUAAGAUGAUAUGUAUAUAUCAAUUAAUAAAAAAAAAAAGAAAACAAAAUCCAAGCAAAAAAAAAAGCACCUUAUAAUCUCCAAAAAGUCCCCUAUUUUUCAAACAUAUAUUUUUGUUUUCCCUAUUACCUUUUUUGUUAGCCAUAACCCUAGCCUACGUUACGUCCUAAAAAAAGUCCGUCUCGAUUUUUGGGAACUAUAGUAUGAAGUAAAAGCUGGUAAUAUGGACUAAAAGAUAUGCUGUGGUGAUGCAUAAAAAUAAAAAUAAAAAUAAAUUUUGCUAGUAAUUCAUUGGACUUGAGAUCAUUUUAUUUCUAAGCUGUGGGCAUUAUUUUUUUCAUCUUGGUGAGAGCGUGUGAUAUUAUUUUAUUAUUCUCUCAAAUUUACCAUUUUUUAGAGUGACAAAUUAAUUUGGGGUAUAUCUUCUUUUGAGAAAGUUACUCUUAAUCGUGAGAUUUUGGGGUUUGAUGUAUCAUUCUUAAAAGUGGCUUGAUCAAUGUAGCUCUGAUAAUUGAUCAUUUUACAGGAUUUUACUAAAUUAUUUUGUGCAGGUGUGAUUUUCUUUAUGCUGAAGAUAAUACUUAUGCUUUUAUUUAAUUAUUGUCAUUAAUCUGAUGGAAGAAGCAAACACAAUUUUAAAAAAAAAAUGAUUUUCAAUUUGAGUUUGAAAUUUUACUAAACUUUUAUCGCUUAAAUUGCUAGGGCCUAGCAAUAAGCUGGUUAGGGGGUGUGAUUGACACUAAAAAGUGUACAUUUAAUAAGGAUAAAAUUAUUAGUUUUUCACUUAUUGUGUCGAUCAAUGUGUUCAUUAUUUCUAAAUUAUUUUAAUACUCCCCAAAUAUAUUUUAUGUUAAAUUAAUUCAUAAUUUGUUAAUUUUUAUCUUGUAAAUAUUUUUCAGGAAUAAAGAUGGAAUUGGAAUUAAAAGCGGGAACAAAGAAGAACUACUGGAACACAAUUGAAGAGAUGUAAUAAUAAAUAAUAAAUAAUAAAUAAAAUAAAAUAAAAAUAAAAAUAAAAAUAAAAAUAAAAGAACAAAAGCAUGUUGGUGAUGGUCAGUAGGCCAUCACGCCUCCUGACCAUCACACAAUUCAAUAUAUAUAUAUAAUAUAAAAAUAAAAUAAAAUAAAAUAUUAAUAUUAAUAAAAUAAAAGAAAAGAAGAUGAUUCCCUUACCUAUAAAAGGCAAGGGGAUGCAAGCCGGAGGGGGAUCUUUUUCAAAAAGCCGAGAGAGCGAAUUUUGGAGAGCGGAAGCCGAAACUAAAGAUUUUCUUUCUUUCCUUGUUUCCGUUUGUAUCAAUUUUCUUUGUAAUAUAUUUCAAAAAGUUUAUCAAAUAAAAAAAGUGUUUUGUUUUCUUUCAAUAUAAGUAGCUAAUUUUAUUAAGCUGAGGUGAAGGGUGAAGGUCAAUGUUUCAAACUAUUAAUUAUUAUUAUUUUCUCAAAGGAGUUUUUUUUAAUUCUUUUCUAAUUAUUUUGUAUCAUGUUAAUUUAUAAAUCUCACUGGAUUUUGUGGUAUUUUGACAUAAUGUCGACACAUUAAUAUAGUGUGGCACAUUAGGUACUUUAUUCUAUAUUUAUCCACAUACAUAAAAUUAAAUGAUAUAAUAAUUAAUUGGUAAAAGUGAGGCAAAAUAUAAAUGAUAGAGUAUUAAAAUUAUAGUUUGAAUACAGAGAGUGGAUCCUAAACCUUAGCUUAUUUUUAAAUUGAUUUCAAAUAAUUUCUUUUCCCCACAAUUAAUUUUCUUAAUUUUACUAGAUUUAAAACUCCCUGUGGUUCGACCCUGGUCUCACCAGGUUAUAUUAUAACUAGACACUCUUAUACUUGAGAGUAAUACACUUUUGAGUCGUGUCAACUACUUAAAAGUGUUUAAUUUAAUCCCAAGUAUAAGAGUGUCUAGUUAUACUAUAACUCGGUGAGUCCGAGGUCGAUCCACAGAGAAAAAUACACUUUUGAGUCGUGUCAACUACUUAAAAGUGUUUAAUUUACUCCCAAGUAUAAGAGUGCCUAGUUAUACUAUAACUCAGUGAGUCCGAGGUCAAUCUACAGCGAAAAGAUUUAAUUUUUUUA
RNAcentral lists this long non-coding RNA (11383 nucleotides) under Citrus x clementina. RNAcentral's name for it is "Citrus clementina (C. clementina) long non-coding RNA (CCLE_LNC004185)". Lineage: Eukaryota; Viridiplantae; Streptophyta; Magnoliopsida; Sapindales; Rutaceae. The record is from RNAcentral.